AUAAAUUUGAUAAUGUUUUGAUACUUUGAAAUGGAAUUUAAUUAUUAAUUAGUUAUAAGCUUGUUGAAUUUUGAGAUGUAAUUGGGAGUAAAUUUGAUAUGAGCAUAUUUUGUUAAUGACAUAUUGAUAAAUGUUGAGUUACGAUACCAUGAUAUUAAGCUUAAAGGCAUUCGAUCAUGAGAUGGAUUAAGGUAAACUAAAUGAUAUUCGGCAAUGGUACUUUUUACAUGAGAAAUUCGGUGUUAAUUGUAUUAAAU
Molecule: long non-coding RNA, 257 nt
Filed under: Gossypium barbadense (sea-island cotton)
Lineage: Eukaryota; Viridiplantae; Streptophyta; Magnoliopsida; Malvales; Malvaceae
Description: long non-coding RNA (GBAR_LNC005614)
Source: RNAcentral